CCUACGGGAGGCUGCAGUGGGGAAUAUUGCACAAUGGGGGAAACCCUGAUGCAGCGACGCCGCGUGAGUGAAGAAGUAAUUCGUUAUGUAAAGCUCUAUCAGCAGGGAAGAAAAUGACGGUACCUGAGUAAGAAGCCCCGGCUAACUACGUGCCAGCAGCCGCGGUAAUACGUAGGGGGCAAGCGUUAUCCGGAUUUACUGGGUGUUAAGGGAGCGUAGACGGCAGUGCAAGUCUGGAGUGAAAGGCGGGGGCUCAACCCCCGGACUGCUCUGGAAACUGUACGGCUGGAGUGCAGGAGAGGUAAGUGGAAUUCCUAGGGUAGCGGUGGAAUGCGUAGAUAUUAGGGGGGACACCAGUGGCGAAGGCGGCUUACUGGACUGUAACUGACGUUGAGGGUCGAAAGCGUGGGGAGCAAACAAGAUUAGAUACCCCUGGUAGUC
RNAcentral lists this ribosomal RNA (441 nucleotides) under uncultured bacterium. Its description in RNAcentral is "partial 16S ribosomal RNA". It matches the Rfam family "Bacterial small subunit ribosomal RNA", at positions 338 to 795 of the family's 1533-position model. The record is from RNAcentral.